UACGAAGGGAGCUAGCGUUGUUCGGAAUCACUGGGCGUAAAGCGCACGUAGGCGGACGUGUCAGUCAGGGGUGAAAUCCCGGAGCUCAACUUCGGAACUGCCUUUGAUACUGGCGAUCUCGAGUCCGGGAGAGGUGAGUGGAACUGCGAGUGUAGAGGUGAAAUUCGUAGAUAUUCGCAAGAACACCAGUGGCGAAGGCGGCUCACUGGCCCGGUACUGACGCUGAGGUGCGAAAGCGUGGGGAGCAAACAGG
This 253-nucleotide ribosomal RNA is filed under the name uncultured bacterium. RNAcentral's name for it is "partial 16S ribosomal RNA". It matches the Rfam family "Bacterial small subunit ribosomal RNA", at positions 524 to 776 of the family's 1533-position model. The record is from RNAcentral.